This is a non-coding RNA of Acanthosepion pharaonis, 104 nucleotides long. Lineage: Eukaryota; Metazoa; Mollusca; Cephalopoda; Sepiida; Sepiidae. The record is from the annotation of a GenBank genome assembly.
AUCACGUUGAAACACCGAUUCCCGUACGAUCCCCGAAGUUAAGCAACCUUGAUCCUGGUCAGUACCUAAAUGGGUGACCGCUUGCAAAAAACAGGUUCUGCAAG